Molecule: ribosomal RNA, 253 nt
Filed under: uncultured bacterium
Lineage: Bacteria
Description: partial 16S ribosomal RNA
Rfam family: Bacterial small subunit ribosomal RNA
Source: RNAcentral
UACGGAGGGCGCAAGCGUUGUUCGGAAUCACUGGGCGUAAGGCGCGUGUAGGCGGCUUGGCAAGUCGGGUGUGAAAUCCCGAGGCUCAACCUCGGAACUGCACUCGAAACUGCCUGGCUUGAGUCCCGGAGAGGGUGGCGGAAUUCCCGGUGUAGGGGUGAAAUUCGUAGAUAUUCGGAGGAACACCAGAAGCGAAGGCGGCCAACUGGCCCGAUACUGACGCUGAGGCGCGAAAGCGUGGGGAGCAAACAGG